This 1526-nucleotide ribosomal RNA is filed under the name Escherichia coli. Its description in RNAcentral is "partial 23S ribosomal RNA". It matches the Rfam family "Bacterial large subunit ribosomal RNA", at positions 1216 to 2726 of the family's 2925-position model. The record is from RNAcentral. Lineage: Bacteria; Pseudomonadati; Pseudomonadota; Gammaproteobacteria; Enterobacterales; Enterobacteriaceae.
AUGCGUUGUUGGGUAGGGGAGCGUUCUGUAAGCCUGCGAAGGUGUGCUGUGAGGCAUGCUGGAGGUAUCAGAAGUGCGAAUGCUGACAUAAGUAACGAUAAAGCGGGUGAAAAGCCCGCUCGCCGGAAGACCAAGGGUUCCUGUCCAACGUUAAUCGGGGCAGGGUGAGUCGACCCCUAAGGCGAGGCCGAAAGGCGUAGUCGAUGGGAAACAGGUUAAUAUUCCUGUACUUGGUGUUACUGCGAAGGGGGGACGGAGAAGGCUAUGUUGGCCGGGCGACGGUUGUCCCGGUUUAAGCGUGUAGGCUGGUUUUCCAGGCAAAUCCGGAAAAUCAAGGCUGAGGCGUGAUGACGAGGCACUGCGGUGCUGAAGCAACAAAUGCCCUGCUUCCAGGAAAAGCCUCUAAGCAUCAGGUAACAUCAAAUCGUACCCCAAACCGACACAGGUGGUCAGGUAGAGAAUACCAAGGCGCUUGAGAGAACUCGGGUGAAGGAACUAGGCAAAAUGGUGCCGUAACUUCGGGAGAAGGCACGCUGAUAUGUAGGUGAAGUCCCUCGCGGAUGGAGCUGAAAUCAGUCGAAGAUACCAGCUGGCUGCAACUGUUUAUUAAAAACACAGCACUGUGCAAACACGAAAGUGGACGUAUACGGUGUGACGCCUGCCCGGUGCCGGAAGGUUAAUUGAUGGGGUUAGCGCAAGCGAAGCUCUUGAUCGAAGCCCCGGUAAACGGCGGCCGUAACUAUAACGGUCCUAAGGUAGCGAAAUUCCUUGUCGGGUAAGUUCCGACCUGCACGAAUGGCGUAAUGAUGGCCAGGCUGUCUCCACCCGAGACUCAGUGAAAUUGAACUCGCUGUGAAGAUGCAGUGUACCCGCGGCAAGACGGAAAGACCCCGUGAACCUUUACUAUAGCUUGACACUGAACAUUGAGCCUUGAUGUGUAGGAUAGGUGGGAGGCUUUGAAGUGUGGACGCCAGUCUGCAUGGAGCCGACCUUGAAAUACCACCCUUUAAUGUUUGAUGUUCUAACGUUGACCCGUAAUCCGGGUUGCGGACAGUGUCUGGUGGGUAGUUUGACUGGGGCGGUCUCCUCCUAAAGAGUAACGGAGGAGCACGAAGGUUGGCUAAUCCUGGUCGGACAUCAGGAGGUUAGUGCAAUGGCAUAAGCCAGCUUGACUGCGAGCGUGACGGCGCGAGCAGGUGCGAAAGCAGGUCAUAGUGAUCCGGUGGUUCUGAAUGGAAGGGCCAUCGCUCAACGGAUAAAAGGUACUCCGGGGAUAACAGGCUGAUACCGCCCAAGAGUUCAUAUCGACGGCGGUGUUUGGCACCUCGAUGUCGGCUCAUCACAUCCUGGGGCUGAAGUAGGUCCCAAGGGUAUGGCUGUUCGCCAUUUAAAGUGGUACGCGAGCUGGGUUUAGAACGUCGUGAGACAGUUCGGUCCCUAUCUGCCGUGGGCGCUGGAGAACUGAGGGGGGCUGCUCCUAGUACGAGAGGACCGGAGUGGACGCAUCACUGGUGUUCGGGUUGUCA